GCUUAACACAUGCAAGUCGAGGGGCAGCAUGGUCUUAGCUUGCUAAGGCCGAUGGCGACCGGCGCACGGGUGAGUAACACGUAUCCAACCUGCCGUCUACUCUUGGACAGCCUUCUGAAAGGAAGAUUAAUACAAGAUGGCAUCAUGAGUCCGCAUGUUCACAUGAUUAAAGGUAUUCCGGUAGACGAUGGGGAUGCGUUCCAUUAGAUAGUAGGCGGGGUAACGGCCCACCUAGUCUUCGAUGGAUAGGGGUUCUGAGAGGAAGGUCCCCCACAUUGGAACUGAGACACGGUCCAAACUCCUACGGGAGGCAGCAGUGAGGAAUAUUGGUCAAUGGGCGAGAGCCUGAACCAGCCAAGUAGCGUGAAGGAUGACUGCCCUAUGGGUUGUAAACUUCUUUUAUAAAGGAAUAAAGUCGGGUAUGGAUACCCGUUUGCAUGUACUUUAUGAAUAAGGAUCGGCUAACUCCGUGCCAGCAGCCGCGGUAAUACGGAGGAUCCGAGCGUUAUCCGGAUUUAUUGGGUUUAAAGGGAGCGUAGAUGGAUGUUUAAGUCAGUUGUGAAAGUUUGCGGCUCAACCGUAAAAUUGCAGUUGAUACUGGAUAUCUUGAGUGCAGUUGAGGCAGGCGGAAUUCGUGGUGUAGCGGUGAAAUGCUUAGAUAUCACGAAGAACUCCGAUUGCGAAGGCAGCCUGCUAAGCU
This 700-nucleotide ribosomal RNA is filed under the name uncultured Bacteroidales bacterium. RNAcentral's name for it is "bacterial SSU rRNA". It matches the Rfam family "Bacterial small subunit ribosomal RNA", at positions 46 to 735 of the family's 1533-position model. The record is from RNAcentral. Lineage: Bacteria; Pseudomonadati; Bacteroidota; Bacteroidia; Bacteroidales.